Molecule: non-coding RNA, 48 nt
Filed under: unclassified sequences
Also listed under: 1 other name
Description: glnA RNA
Rfam family: Glutamine riboswitch aptamer (glnA leader)
Source: RNAcentral
AUCGUUCAUCCCCAAGGGGGACGCAAAUGCCGACUGAAGGAACGGGUC